GUCGUCGACAAGCUGGAAAGAGUGGUGUAGAUGUGGUAUCUGGGUAGCAUCUCGUUCUAUCGAUUUUGUUGCACUAAAUUGUAGUAGAUAAGGGAAUAAUUCUGUGUUACUAGUGGAUAUUAUUUGGGUUGGUGGGUUUUGGCUAAGAUGGGUGUUUGGUGGGCUAUUUGGAAUGUCAGAAUUGAUUUAGGGUUAAGGUGUGGCUCUCUGUAGAAGAGAAUAUAAGUAAAGACGGAAAUCUUUGAUUAGAAUAUGUCCAGAUUGCAUUUGAUAAAUAAAUGGGGUUGUAGGCUAUUCGAGGUUUAGACAUUUGACUUGGUUUUAUGUGAACUGUCGGUAUCGAGUAGGCUAACCUUUUUAAAGGAGAGGAGGCAUUGGAUUACACAGCAUUAAUCGCUGGAUCGUUUUUAUGAAGUUAACGUUUCUAUGAAUGUUGUAAGUAACCAUUUUCUGAAAUUGCUCAUUUAAGCGUUGUUAAAUGGUAUUAUGAUGGGCUAUUGCUUAAAGACUGCAAGUUAACAUGCAAACCACUGACGGACUGAAUAAUUGAGAGUUGACGGAACGAUAUAGGGCGUGUGCGAGCAGUGUAGUCCAGUCGGACGAUCUUCAGCUCAGAAUUCGAGGAUGUCUUUUAGUUGUUUGCACGAUGGAAAACCACAUGAACUGAAAGCUUUUUAUCAAGUUUCUUUUCGCGAAAAAAGGCAAGUCAUUGGAGGAUGUCACAGCAAAUGUUCUCGUGGGAAAACGUCAGUAUUUUCUGGCUGGUUUGCAAGAUAGAAUCAAGCAUCAGGAGCAAGCGAGUCACGGUCGUCCUCUCUGCCAAAGGGUAAGUCUGUCCAGCAGUGUUCUCGUGGCCGGGAGUGAGCAGUGAGUGGACCGCCAUGAUGGACUCACCUGAGGGAGACCGUGCUCACUGGCUGACCCGCAGCAGUUCUUCACUGGCAAGCUUUAUGUUCUUGUGUACCAGCUAAAGCUGCCAGCUGAAGAACUGUUGUGGUUGGCUCUUGCCCUGCACACACUCUCCUCUCAUGGCCUCCUUCCCCACCCCCCUAGCACCAGAACCUCCGAUGCCCCACAGAGAGGAGGAGGAGAGGAUCUCUUGGGCUUGAGGGAGGUAGAGCUGCAGCUGAAGAGUAGCGCUCUCUGCUUGCUCGCUGAGGCUCGAUCAGACCAGACAUCAGACACAACAUAUCUAUCUCUACUACCCACCCACUGCCCCUCUCGCUUUCUCCCCCUACCUCUCUCUACCUCCGUCUAUUCCUCCCCUCCCUCUCUCUCUCUGUCUUCUUCCAUCCCUCCUCCCCUCUGGCCAGCCUGCCUCCCCUCCUCUCCUCACUCUCGCCUGGUCAUCUCUAACUGGCUGAGCAUUUUUGCUCAGGCAUAAACAAAGGCAACUGGGCAGGGCCCGUGCUGACUCAGCCACAUUCCACACCCUGGUCACGUCCCCCCACCCUGUCCUUAUUUGGGUGCGGAGUAGGGCAGGGGGCUGCAUGAUGUUUUUACAAUGCAAACAGGAACCAAUAGCCUCCAUACAUCUGCCUCCAUCUCUCUCUCUCUCUCUCUCUCUCUCUCUCUCUCUCUCUCUCUCUCUCUCUCUCUCUCUCUCUCUCUCUCUCUCUCUCUCUCUCUCUCUCUCUCUCUCUCUCUCUCUCUCUCUCUCUCUCUCCUGCUAUCAUUACUCUCUCCUUUGUGGCUGAUGGCAGAAGAGUAGAUGAUGAGGCCUCUCCCUCUCCCCAUCUCUCCUCACUGUCCCUGGGUCUCUGACUGGGACAUGUGUUUCUGUUUAUUAGUAAAGUCACAGCGUUCUGCCAGAGAGUUGAUGCUGAAAACACUGGCUGGUCAUGGAACCAAGGCUGAUUUUUAUUUUAUUUUAUUUAUUUUUUAUUUUUUGGUAAUUUUCAUUGUUUUGUGUUUUGUUUUGUUUCCUUGCCCCAUGGUCUGAAUGCCCUUGCUGAUUUUGUUGUUGUUGUUGUAGGUUUUUGUUCGGGCUGAAUGUAACCAUAGACACGCACACCACACACACACACACUUUCAUGCCACAGAGGCCAGCCGGACCUCGAUGCGUCGUAAAUCGUACUUCAAGGGCGAAAGCCGCCGCUGAAAACAGGAUAUGAAAAAAUGGCCUGCUGGAAAGUGCCAAGCCAGAUGAACACAAAGGUAGGGAAUGUUCUCUAGAUACCAGAUGCCCACGAGGAGUCCAGUCAAAGAAAGAGACAGACUUUAUUCAUUUAAAGUCCAUUCAGUUUCUGUCAGCAUCACAUAGCAUAGUGUAGCAGUACGGUGUAGUCAAAGAAUUGUUUUUCAAAAUAAAAGAUGCAUAAAAUAUUCAGGAAAUAUAAUUUCUCUUCUCGCUCUUUCACUUUUUCUUCUUUCUUCCUACUCCCUCUCUUGUCUCGCCCUCUACACUCAUGCUAUACCUGCCUAGACUCGUGGACACACGCACACACACACGCACACACACACACCCUGUCUACAGGAUUGCACACCUCUUAGAUCUUCACCCUGUAAGACAUCCUACUUUGCUCAUGUAACAGAGCCGCCACACUCUGACCCCUGUGCAGGGUUUUCCCCGGUCAUGGGCCAAGGUGCCUUACCUGAUCCUCUCUAGGCUGCAGCCAAUCUGGCCCCAAGUACAUUAAAAGAUUGCAGAGGGUCCUCUCGGCUCCGGAUUUGAAGCGACACACCUAAGAAGCCUGUCUUGGUCAGAGGUUCAGAUGGUGUCUGUGGGGCUUAGACCCCAGGUUGCAUUAUUAUUAUUCUUUUCUAGAUUAAAUAUAAUUUCUGCUGUUUGUGUGCAGAGUAAAAUAUGUAUAUUUGUAUUUAUAGUGAAGAUUAGCAUGUGUGAGUGUGUCCUUGGGUGCUCUCAUGGACUAUACCUGCUUACCUGGUGCAGUCUGCCAAGAGGAUCAAGAGGUCAGACAGAUCGGCUUCUCAGAGAUCACAUCCCUUUGUCACACACACACACACACACACACAAACUCACUUGCUCUGUAAUUUGGAAACUGGGUGAAGGGUCACAAGCAGGAAGUCCUUGCUUUGUCGUAUCAAUAGCCAUGUCAGUGACAUAUUUUUGAAUAAUCAGUUCAAUAAACUCCUAAGCAAAUUAA
Long non-coding RNA from Alosa alosa (allis shad), 3107 nucleotides. RefSeq lists it as uncharacterized. The record is from RefSeq and is a predicted model, not a curated record. The transcript has 3 exons. Lineage: Eukaryota; Metazoa; Chordata; Actinopteri; Clupeiformes; Clupeidae.